CAGAGUUCAUGCCCUAACGGGUAGACCUCCCACCCUUUGUUAUACCUACCUUUGUUGCUUUGGCAGGCCGCCUUCGGGCUACCGGCUUCGGCUGGUGCGUGCCUGCCAGAGGACCCCAAACUCUGAAUUUUUGUAUCGUCUGAGUAAAACAUAAUAAGUUA
RNAcentral lists this unclassified non-coding RNA (161 nucleotides) under uncultured Chalara. RNAcentral's name for it is "sequence contains ITS1". Lineage: Eukaryota; Fungi; Ascomycota; Leotiomycetes; Helotiales. The record is from RNAcentral.